RNAcentral lists this ribosomal RNA (253 nucleotides) under uncultured bacterium. RNAcentral describes it as "partial 16S ribosomal RNA". It matches the Rfam family "Bacterial small subunit ribosomal RNA", at positions 524 to 776 of the family's 1533-position model. The record is from RNAcentral.
UACGGGGGGGGCAAGCGUUGUUCGGAAUUACUGGGCGUAAAGGGCUCGUAGGCGGCCAACUAAGUCGGACGUGAAAUCCCCAGGCUUAACUUGGGAACUGCGUCCGAUACUGGAUGGCUUGAAUCCGGGAGAGGGAUGCGGAAUUCCAGGUGUAGCGGUGAAAUGCGUAGAUAUUCGCAAGAACACCAGUGGCGAAGGCGGCUCACUGGCCCGGUACUGACGCUGAGGCACGAAAGCGUGGGGAGCAAACAGG